AUUGAACGCUGGCGGCAGGCCUAACACAUGCAAGUCGAGCGGAUGAAGGGAGCUUGCUCCUGGAUUCAGCGGCGGACGGGUGAGUAAUGCCUAGGAAUCUGCCUGGUAGUGGGGGAUAACGUCCGGAAACGGGCGCUAAUAUCGCAUACGUCCUGAGGGAGAAAGUGGGGGAUCUUCGGACAUCACGCUAUCAGAUGAGCCUAGGUCGGAUUAGCUAGUUGGUGGGGUAAAGGCCUACCAAGGCGACGAUCCGUAACUGGUCUGAGAGGAUGAUCAGUCACACUGGAACUGAGACACGGUCCAGACUCCUACGGGAGGCAGCAGUGGGGAAUAUUGGACAAUGGGCGAAAGCCUGAUCCAGCCAUGCCGCGUGUGUGAAGAAGGUCUUCGGAUUGUAAAGCACUUUAAGUUGGGAAGAAGAGCAGUAAGUUAAUACCUUGCUAUUUUGACGUUACCAACAGAAUAAGCACCGGCUAACUUCGUG
RNAcentral lists this ribosomal RNA (484 nucleotides) under uncultured bacterium. RNAcentral's name for it is "partial 16S ribosomal RNA". It matches the Rfam family "Bacterial small subunit ribosomal RNA", at positions 30 to 507 of the family's 1533-position model. The record is from RNAcentral.